CAGUCGCCGCGGUAAUACGAAGGGGGCUAGCGUUGUUCGGAAUCACUGGGCGUAAAGCGCACGUAGGCGGAUACUUAAGUCAGGGGUGAAAUCCCGGGGCUCAACCUCGGAACUGCCUUUGAUACUGGGUAUCUUGAGUCCGGGAGAGGUUGGUGGAACUCCGAGCGUAGAGGUGAAAUUCGUAGAUAUUCGGAAGAACACCAGUGGCGAAGGCGGCCAACUGGCCCGGUACUGACGCUGAGGUGCGAAAGCGUGGGGAGCAAACAGGAUUAGAUACCCGCGUAGUCCCUGUCUCUUAUAC
This 301-nucleotide ribosomal RNA is filed under the name uncultured bacterium. RNAcentral describes it as "partial 16S ribosomal RNA". It matches the Rfam family "Bacterial small subunit ribosomal RNA", at positions 509 to 807 of the family's 1533-position model. The record is from RNAcentral.